RNAcentral lists this ribosomal RNA (465 nucleotides) under Vreelandella stevensii. RNAcentral's name for it is "partial 16S ribosomal RNA". It matches the Rfam family "Bacterial small subunit ribosomal RNA", at positions 338 to 795 of the family's 1533-position model. The record is from RNAcentral. Lineage: Bacteria; Pseudomonadati; Pseudomonadota; Gammaproteobacteria; Oceanospirillales; Halomonadaceae.
CCUACGGGUGGCAGCAGUGGGGAAUAUUGGACAAUGGGGGGAACCCUGAUCCAGCCAUGCCGCGUGUGUGAAGAAGGCGCUCGGGUUGUAAAGCACUUUCAGUGAGGAAGAACGCCUGGUGGUUAAUACCCAUCAGGAAAGACAUCACUCACAGAAGAAGCACCGGCUAACUCCGUGCCAGCAGCCGCGGUAAUACGGAGGGUGCGAGCGUUAAUCGGAAUUACUGGGCGUAAAGCGCGCGUAGGUGGCUUGAUAAGCCGGUUGUGAAAGCCCCGGGCUCAACCUGGGAACGGCAUCCGGAACUGUCAAGCUAGAGUGCAGGAGAGGAAGGUAGAAUUCCCGGUGUAGCGGUGAAAUGCGUAGAGAUCGGGAGGAAUACCAGUGGCGAAGGCGGCCUUCUGGACUGACACUGACACUGAGGUGCGAAAGCGUGGGUAGCAAACAGGAUUAGAUACCCCAGUAGUC